GAGGGUAUAGCUCAGUGGUAGAGCAUAUGCUUAGCAUGCAUGAGGUCCUGGGUUCAAUCCCCAGUAUGUUCA
Transfer RNA from Camelus ferus (Wild Bactrian camel), 72 nucleotides. It matches the Rfam family "tRNA". From Rfam's summary of the family: Transfer RNA (tRNA) molecules are approximately 80 nucleotides in length. Lineage: Eukaryota; Metazoa; Chordata; Mammalia; Artiodactyla; Camelidae. The record is from Rfam.